GUACACACCGCCCGUCGCUACUACCGAUUGAAUGUCUUAGUGAGGCCUCUGGAGCUGGGCUUUGGGAGACUGGAGCAUGGCGAAACUGGACAAACUUGGACAUUUAGAGGAAGUAAAAGUCGUAACAAGGUUUCCGUAGGUGAACCUGCAGAAGGAUCA
This 159-nucleotide ribosomal RNA is filed under the name uncultured eukaryote. Its description in RNAcentral is "partial small subunit ribosomal RNA". It matches the Rfam family "Eukaryotic small subunit ribosomal RNA", at positions 1662 to 1828 of the family's 1831-position model. The record is from RNAcentral.